This is a long non-coding RNA of Vicia villosa (hairy vetch), 1308 nucleotides long. RefSeq lists it as uncharacterized. NCBI's taxonomy places the organism in Eukaryota, Viridiplantae, Streptophyta, Magnoliopsida, Fabales, Fabaceae. The transcript has 5 exons. The record is from RefSeq and is a predicted model, not a curated record.
UGUUUCUUCAGCUCUCACUCUAUCUCUUUCUCUGCUCUCACUUCGACAAAUUCUCUCUCUACUCUCACUUUACCCUUCAAACCCUAGUGGUUUCUUCACUGUGCCUCAUGUUCCGGCGCCUUAAUCUCCCCCUUAAAUUCAUUCUACAACUCAUCAGAUCUAGCUAAGAAAGCCACAACAACGAAAAACCAUACUCAUCCUAACUCAGUGAAGCAUACAUCAACAAAUCAAGAAGUUCGUAAAAAUCAACAUCAAAAUCGUGUGCAUUGAUGAUUCAUCAUCACCGUCGUCAUCACCAUCGUAGGAGAAAUGACUUUUUUCUUGCAAAGUUUUUGUUUUUCCUCAUUCAACAUUAAACUCAAGAUGAAGAUUUAUAGGAGAGACGAACAAUUACACGAUUUAAGCUGAUGGUGAAGGUUUUCGGUAAGUUGACGAUGGUGGUGUCUUGGACUGCAAUGACAUUUCAUGCGCAGAUCCGAUGACGACAUCAAAAAAGACAGUGAUAGAGUGCGGUGUUGGUUUGUCAAAAAUGUCUGAAGUUGUGUCAUCCGCCCUGGUUUUAAGGAGUUUAAUGGUGACACAUAUUUUGUGUAAUGAGUAACUUCAAAUCACAGUACAUCAAUAUUUCACAUGAAGUUGCAUGUCGAGCUUCUAAGUACUCCUUUGUUGAGCUUCUAAUCGACUCAUAAAAUGUGUUUUUGUGAUGGUGGAACUGAUUCUUGCAAAUUCUUGCGCAUAACUACAUCAAGUGUUCAUCUCGUCAUUUGUUUGGUUUCAAGCUGAUUAAAGUAAUUUUGAUUAAUGACUGCGUUAAUAUCCGUUGACAACUGUGUAAUUGUUGACGAUGACAAGGUUAUACCCACGGGAAGGAAUCGAAUUACUAAGACACGAAAUGUAAUCUAUUCAGGGUUACAUUUUAGUUUUGAUACAUGAUUGGAAGCACCUCAUUUCUUAAACCUUAGUCUUUUAAGAUAUAGAGACAUUAAUAUUGCUAAAUAAUUCUCUAUUCUUAUUACUUAGUCACUAUUUUACAGACUACAGGACACGCAAAAAUGGAAGUUGUAGACAUGCAUCUAGAACAAUGGCAGAAAAUGGACUUUCAAUGGACUUCCAAAUUCUUACUGACAUAAAUUUAAUUUUGUUUUAUGCUUCUGUACUAUUUCAAAGCAUGAGAUUUGGCAGAGAUGCAUCUAUUUACUCCUCAGCCUUGACCGAAGUAGGGAUUUGGAAAUUGAAUAUGUACACCAUUUGGUUGUCGCCUGUUUAGAAUUGAUUACACCGUUCCAUCAAUAAACCGAGAAUUUGGAA